Molecule: ribosomal RNA, 212 nt
Filed under: uncultured bacterium
Lineage: Bacteria
Description: partial 16S ribosomal RNA
Rfam family: Bacterial small subunit ribosomal RNA
Source: RNAcentral
UACGUAGGUGGCAAGCGUUGUCCGGAAUUAUUGGGCGUAAAGCGCGCGCAGGUGGUUUCUUAAGUCUGAUGUGAAAGCCCACGGCUCAACCGUGGAGGGUCAUUGGAAACUGGGGAACUUGAGUGCAGGAGAGAAGAGUGGAAUUCCACGUGUAGCGGUGAAAUGCGUAGAGAUGUGGAGGAACACCAGUGGCGAAGGCGACGUCACUGGCC